GGCCCUAUGGUCAAGCGGUUAAGACACCGCCCUUUCACGGCGGUAACCCGGGUUCGAAUCCCGGUAGGGUCACCA
Molecule: transfer RNA, 75 nt
Filed under: Clostridium cochlearium
Lineage: Bacteria; Bacillati; Bacillota; Clostridia; Eubacteriales; Clostridiaceae
Also listed under: 10 other names
Description: tRNA-Glu
Rfam family: tRNA
About the family: Transfer RNA (tRNA) molecules are approximately 80 nucleotides in length. Their secondary structure includes four short double-helical elements and three loops (D, anti-codon, and T loops). Further hydrogen bonds mediate the characteristic L-shaped molecular structure. tRNAs have two regions of fundamental functional importance: the anti-codon, which is responsible for specific mRNA codon recognition, and the 3' end, to which the tRNAs corresponding amino acid is attached (by aminoacyl-tRNA synthetases). tRNAs cope with the degeneracy of the genetic code in two manners: having more than one tRNA (with a specific anti-codon) for a particular amino acid; and 'wobble' base-pairing, i.e. permitting non-standard base-pairing at the 3rd anti-codon position.
Source: RNAcentral